This 494-nucleotide ribosomal RNA is filed under the name uncultured bacterium. Its description in RNAcentral is "partial 16S ribosomal RNA". It matches the Rfam family "Bacterial small subunit ribosomal RNA", at positions 28 to 523 of the family's 1533-position model. The record is from RNAcentral.
GAUGAACGCUGGCGGCGUGCUUAACACAUGCAAGUCGAACGGGAAACAUUUUAUUGAAGCUUCGGCAGAUUUAGCUUGUUUCUAGUGGCGGACGGGUGAGUAACGCGUGGGUAACCUGCCUUAUACUGGGGGAUAACAGUUAGAAAUGGCUGCUAAUACCGCAUAAGCGCACGGAGCCGCAUGGCUCAGUGUGAAAAACUCCGGUGGUAUAAGAUGGACCCGCGUUGGAUUAGCUAGUUGGCAGGGCAGCGGCCUACCAAGGCGACGAUCCAUAGCCGGCCUGAGAGGGUGAACGGCCACAUUGGGACUGAGACACGGCCCAGACUCCUACGGGAGGCAGCAGUGGGGAAUAUUGCACAAUGGGGGAAACCCUGAUGCAGCGACGCCGCGUGAAGGAAGAAGUAUCUCGGUAUGUAAACUUCUAUCAGCAGGGAAGAUAAUGACGGUACCUGACUAAGAAGCCCCGGCUAACUACGUGCCAGCCGCCGCCGUAA